Molecule: long non-coding RNA, 2860 nt
Organism: Aethalodelphis obliquidens (Pacific white-sided dolphin)
Lineage: Eukaryota; Metazoa; Chordata; Mammalia; Artiodactyla; Delphinidae
Exons: 4
Source: RefSeq, a predicted model, not a curated record
CAGCCUCCUGCCCCUCUGCGGACGCCGCGGGUUCCAACCCUGCAGAAGGAGCGGGGCGGAGCGGACUCCGCUGGUUCCCACACGCACAGCUUCCCCCUUCCCUGUUUUAAUCUUCUUAGUGCUUAAAGUAGCAAGAGUGGUUUCUUUUUCCUGCAGAUGGACCCUCCUUUAUACAGGUAGGGAGAGAAGAGGACGCCCAGGAUAGGGUCCAGAGGAACGCCAGCACUUACUACGGGCAGGGAGGAGGAUCCAGAAGAGAGAUCGGAGAAGGAGCAUCAAAGAGGAGGGGGAAACCCAGGGAAGUUUCAAGCACACCAUGGUUAACAACGUCAUUCUCGACUGCUGCCAGGAAGCAGGAUCCAUUCAACAGAAGUACUCAGCCAAGCACAAGAUGCACAUACAAAGAGAUCCACUGCAGCGCCGUUUGUAGUUGCAAAGAUGUGGGCACUUGUGACUAGACACUGGGACACUGUGCCCCGCCACUGCUGCUGCCGCCCCUGCCCCUCAAACACCAUCUCCCUGGCAGGAUUCAAUCUGCGUGCACACGAGAAGGGGGACGAUGCUGGGAGCCGCUGCACCGUGUACACAAUGACUCCCACCCAGCCCCAUGGAGCUGACAGACCAUCGGUCACCUGCACUUGUCUGAGAAACUGCUUAUGAGAUUGUAGUCAUGGUUGUCACACAUGUGGCUCUGACUAAGACAGUGGCAGUUGAGCUGAAGACAGGAGGUGGGCUUGGCAUGGUCAGGGAGGACAGUGGCUGAAGGUGGCUCUUGGAUGUCUCUGAGUUGGGGACUGGGAGAUGAGAUCAGUUGGGGACAGUUAAGUCUGGGUUGUUUGUGGGGCCCCCAACUGGCCAUGUCCGGGCCAGCUGAGGGGAGAGGUUUGUGCUGGAGCCUUCUGUGCCCCCAAAACCCUGGGAGAGGUUGGAAGUUCUAGUGCCACGAUCUGAUUUGUAUUUGAAAAGGCGGAUCUGGCUGUGGGAGCAGAGCGGAUGAUAGGGAUGGGAGUGCCAGCAGAAGCCAGGAGGAGGCUGUUGCCAUCAUCUGGGAGAAAGAUGAUGGGGGCCUGGCCAGGGUAAUGGAGGGGCAGAGAGGGAAGGCAAAAGAGACUGCAGAGGUCACUGCCUCAGUGUUGGUGCAGGACCGAGGUUCGACCAGGUGGCAUGAUGGUGGGGCAAGGGCCCCAGGAGCAUCUGAAGUGAGAGGUCGAAGCCAGGGCAGCCAGCGGGGGGUGGGGAAACCAGAGCUCCUCAUGCUCAAGCCCUCCCCUGGCCUUGUUCUUGCUGUCACUCGCUGCCCUGGGGGUCAGUUGCAUCCCCUCGGUCUGUCAUUCCGUCACUCACCAAAGUCCUAGAAAUCUUUCUCGGCCCAGCACCUGGGGGGGAAACAAAAUGAGGACCCCCAAUUGGGGCAUCACAGUAAAGUCAAAGUCCUCCAGGCCCAGGACAGACCCGGCAAGGGACACGUUUUGAGAGGAAAGUUCUAUAAUGAUGCCACAGGAGUGAAAGCUGUCGAGGGAAGGGACAGAGGCCCCAGGGAUCAGAACAGUGACACAGGGUGACAAGAGGAGCCAAUGGGACUUCUGUGGUGGUCCAGUAGCUAAGGCUCUGCGCUCCCAAUGCAGGGGGCCCAGGUUCGACCCCGGUCAGGGAACUCGAUCCCACAGGCCACUACUAAAGAUCCCGCAUGCUGCAACUAAAGAUCCCACAUGCUGCAACUAAGACCCGAUGCAGCCAAAUAAAUAAAUAAAUAUUAAAAAAAAAACAAACGAGGAGCCAAUGGCCAUGGGCAGACUUAGGAACACAAAGGGCACCAUUUAAAUAAAGUUUCAAGGCAAAGACUUUCUCAAAAGUGUGACCUUGCUGGCCAGCAGUCUCUUGCUCACCAUCCUUAAGGGAGAAAGUCCCGUGGCUACUUUUCUUCUUCCCUCAGUUCCCAGAGGUCCCUGGAGUGGUGACCUCGAGGCUUCCUGAAGCGGUUGCUAUGGGCCAGGCACUGAGUCAGACUCGGACCCUGCCCCUCAAGUUCACAAUCUGAUCCGGAGGAGAUGCAGAAUAGUUGACCACUUCAGUAUGUCCCCCUAAACAGUCUAGUGCUCAGUCUGCUCGUCCUUGAGCUUGACGAAAUGGCAUCAUCCUGCGCGGGGGACGCGGGUAGCAUCGUGCCAUCCUUGCUAGUCUGGUGGUCCACCUGGAACCUCAGAAUGGGACUUUAUUUGGAAAAAGGAUCUUUGUGAGUAUAAUUAGUUAAGAUGAGGUCAUAGUGGAGUAGCGAGCCCUAAUCCAGCGACUGGUGUCCUUAGAAGAAGAGGCCAUACAAAGCUGGAAGCAGAGAUUGGAGUGAACUUGUGUCUUCAAGCCAAGGAACACCAAGGAUUGCUGGCCACCACUGGAAGCUAGGAGAGGGGCAGAUCCCUCCUCAGAGCCCCCACAAGGAGCCAACCCUGCCGUUACCUUGACCUUGGACUUCUGACCUCCAGCACUGUGAGAGAAUAAAUCUUUUGUUGUUUUAACCCUACCAGUUUAGGGUGCUUUGUUACUGCAGUUACAGCAAACUCAUACAGUACACGUAUUUUCAGCUCUGCCAUUGUUUCCUCUUCUAUGAAGUGACUGCUCACAUCAAUCUUCCCGUUUUUCUAUCCGAUUGUUUAUCCUUUUACUGAUUUAUAGGAGUUCUUUAUUUAUUCUGGGUGUGAGCCCUGCGUUAGUUACGUGUAUUACAAAUCUUUGGGUUUUGAAGCAAGUCCAUGAACCUCGCUCUGCGUCCUUUACAGAAUGAGAUUAAUCCCUACUUUUGCAAGGUUGUACGGGGAUCAUAGACAAUGACAGAAGCCUUAGGCGACUGGUACAGACUGAGAGC